Molecule: transfer RNA, 76 nt
Filed under: Pseudomonadales bacterium
Lineage: Bacteria; Pseudomonadati; Pseudomonadota; Gammaproteobacteria; Pseudomonadales
Also listed under: 4 other names
Description: tRNA-Glu
Rfam family: tRNA
About the family: Transfer RNA (tRNA) molecules are approximately 80 nucleotides in length. Their secondary structure includes four short double-helical elements and three loops (D, anti-codon, and T loops).
Source: RNAcentral
GCUCCCUUCGUCUAGUGGUUCAGGACGCUGCCCUCUCACGGCGGUAACAGGGGUUCGAAUCCCCUAGGGAGUACCA